Molecule: non-coding RNA, 114 nt
Organism: Pelobates cultripes (western spadefoot toad)
Lineage: Eukaryota; Metazoa; Chordata; Amphibia; Anura; Pelobatidae
Source: the annotation of a GenBank genome assembly
CUGGGCUAUGGGGACAUGUAUCCUAAGACUUGGUCAGGGAUGUUAGUAGGUGCACUGUGUGCGUUGGCUGGCGUUCUUACAAUUGCAAUGCCUGUGCCAGUCAUUGUUAACAAU